ACGGAAGGCAGCAGUGGGGAAUAUUGGGCAAUGGGGGAAACCCUGACCCAGCAACGCCGCGUGAAGGAAGAAGGCCUUCGGGUUGUAAACUUCUUUUACCAGGGACGAUAAUGACGGUACCUGGAGAAAAAGCAACGGCUAACUACGUGCCAGCAGCCGCGGUAAUACGUAGGUUGCAAGCGUUGUCCGGAUUUACUGGGUGUAAAGGACGUGUAGGCGGAGCUGCAAGUCAGAUGUGAAAUCCCGGGGCUCAACCCCGGAACUGCAUUUGAAACUGUAGCCCUUGAGUAUCGGAGAGGCAAGCGGAAUUCCUAGUGUAGCGGUGAAAUGCGUAGAUAUUAGGAGGAACACCAGUGGCGAAGGCGGCUUGCUGGACGACAACUGACGCUGAGGCGCGAAAGCGUGGGGAGCAAACAGGAUUAGAUACCCUGGUA
This 434-nucleotide ribosomal RNA is filed under the name uncultured Oscillospiraceae bacterium. RNAcentral describes it as "partial 16S ribosomal RNA". It matches the Rfam family "Bacterial small subunit ribosomal RNA", at positions 341 to 792 of the family's 1533-position model. Lineage: Bacteria; Bacillati; Bacillota; Clostridia; Eubacteriales; Oscillospiraceae. The record is from RNAcentral.